AAGAUGGCCUUGCACUGAGAGAGAGAGAGAGACAGAGAGAGAGAGAGAGAGAGAGAGAGAGAGAGAGAGAGAGAGAGAGGUAUAGGUAAGAAGUAAAUACAACUGGAAACAUAUUUUUAGUUAGGAAAAAUUUUGCAAGAUGCCCUGUUUAUAAAACAGAAAAUUAGAGAUAACAGAAUUUUUCUCAGAAUGCUAAAAUCAAUAUGCAAUGAAGAUAACAUACUAAAUGAUACGCUGCUGAUCACUAUUUCUGCAGAAGGACAGCUCAAGGCCCAGCAUUCUUCUCAGAGCCUAAGAAGAAUGCACUCAUCAGACAAGCAGUCACAGUAAGCAGUCAGUGCUCAGCAGCACAAGUAUCACUAGCCAGAGGGCCCAGUGUGCUUUAUAAAAGCCAGAUGGCAUGGAAUUCUGAAGGACUAAUACUCCUAGUUCAUCAA
RNAcentral lists this long non-coding RNA (437 nucleotides) under Heterocephalus glaber (naked mole-rat). RNAcentral's name for it is "lncRNA (ENSHGLG00000039285.1)". The record is from RNAcentral. Lineage: Eukaryota; Metazoa; Chordata; Mammalia; Rodentia; Bathyergidae.